Molecule: unclassified non-coding RNA, 250 nt
Filed under: uncultured Rickettsiales bacterium
Lineage: Bacteria; Pseudomonadati; Pseudomonadota; Alphaproteobacteria; Rickettsiales
Description: contains 16S-23S intergenic spacer region
Rfam family: Bacterial small subunit ribosomal RNA
Source: RNAcentral
UACGGGAGGGACUAGUGUUACUCGUCAUAAUUGGCGUAAAGGGUCUGUAGGCGGUUUUUUAAGUUGAUGGGGAAAGAACAAAGCAAAGUUUGUCGACACCAUCAAUACUAUUAAACUUAGAGUAUCAUUGGGGAUAGUGAACUUUCAAUGUAGCGAUAAAAUGCUUAGAAGUUGGAGGGAACACCAGAGGCGAAGGCGGCUAUCUAGGUGAUUACUGACGCUGAGGACGAAGGCAUGGGGAUCAAACAGG